GGGCCCGUGGCCUAGCCAGGAUUAAGGCACCGGCCUCCGGAGCCGGAGAUCCCGGGUUCAAAUCCCGGCGGGCCCGCCA
RNAcentral lists this transfer RNA (79 nucleotides) under Candidatus Bathyarchaeota archaeon. Its description in RNAcentral is "tRNA-Arg". It matches the Rfam family "tRNA". Rfam says of the family: Transfer RNA (tRNA) molecules are approximately 80 nucleotides in length. Their secondary structure includes four short double-helical elements and three loops (D, anti-codon, and T loops). Further hydrogen bonds mediate the characteristic L-shaped molecular structure. tRNAs have two regions of fundamental functional importance: the anti-codon, which is responsible for specific mRNA codon recognition, and the 3' end, to which the tRNAs corresponding amino acid is attached (by aminoacyl-tRNA synthetases). tRNAs cope with the degeneracy of the genetic code in two manners: having more than one tRNA (with a specific anti-codon) for a particular amino acid; and 'wobble' base-pairing, i.e. permitting non-standard base-pairing at the 3rd anti-codon position. RNAcentral also lists the same sequence under 1 other name. Lineage: Archaea; Thermoproteati; Candidatus Bathyarchaeota. The record is from RNAcentral.